AUGGUAAGCACUUCUGAGUCUGACAACCUGAUGUGGUCUGGUAGUAUAGCUGUAGAACAGAUCUCGAGGCAGAAAUUGUAUGGUUAUCCAUGGGGUGGUAUAGGCAGCCACCAGGGGCAAAUAAUCCAGACUCAUUUAGCAUGUUUUGAAACUUUAUCAUUCCUCCAUAUGUUUGUUCUUAUUGGGGUUUCUUACCCUUUAGGCCUUGUUUGGUUAAUCCUCUCCCCAAGGCGAUUGGAGGGGAUUUUGUAUUGUAGGGGAUUUAAUCCCCCUCAAUCCCUGCCAACCCCCGUAAAAUCCACCUCAACCGAACAAAGCCUUAAAGGCUUUGUUUGGUUACUAGGGAUCUAA
Molecule: ribosomal RNA, 351 nt
Filed under: Triticum aestivum (bread wheat)
Lineage: Eukaryota; Viridiplantae; Streptophyta; Magnoliopsida; Poales; Poaceae
Description: partial small subunit ribosomal RNA
Source: RNAcentral